RNAcentral lists this ribosomal RNA (483 nucleotides) under uncultured bacterium. Its description in RNAcentral is "partial 16S ribosomal RNA". It matches the Rfam family "Bacterial small subunit ribosomal RNA", at positions 28 to 507 of the family's 1533-position model. The record is from RNAcentral.
GACGAACGCUGGCGGCGUGCUUAACACAUGCAAGUCGAACGCUGAAGCUCAGCUUUUGUUGGGUGGAUGAGUGGCGAACGGGUGAGUAACACGUGAGUAACCUGCCUCCUUCUUUGGGAUAACGCCCGGAAACGGGUGCUAAUACUGGAUAUUCACUGGUCUUCGCAUGGGGGUUGGUGGAAAGGGUUUUUCUGGUGGGGGAUGGGCUCGCGGCCUAUCAGCUUGUUGGUGGGGUGAUGGCCUACCAAGGCUUUGACGGGUAGCCGGCCUGAGAGGGUGACCGGUCACAUUGGGACUGAGAUACGGCCCAGAGUCCGACGGGAGGCAGCAGUGGGGAAUAUGGCACAAUGGGCGCAAGCCUGAUGCAGCGACGCCGCGUGAGGGAUGGAGGCCUUCGGGUUGUGAACCUCUUUCGCUCAUGGUCAAGCCGCAACAAUGGUUGUGGUGAGGGUAGUGGGUAAAGAAGCGCCGGCUAACUACGUG